Molecule: ribosomal RNA, 253 nt
Filed under: uncultured bacterium
Lineage: Bacteria
Description: partial 16S ribosomal RNA
Rfam family: Bacterial small subunit ribosomal RNA
Source: RNAcentral
UACAGAGGUCUCAAGCGUUGUUCGGAUUCAUUGGGCGUAAAGGGUGCGUAGGUGGCGAGGCAAGUCUGGUGUGAAAUCCCGGGGCUCAACCCCGGAACUGCACUGGAUACUGCCUUGCUUGAGCACUGGAGAGGGAACUGGAAUUUACGGUGUAGCAGUGAAAUGCGUAGAUAUCGUAAGGAAGACCAGUGGCGAAGGCGGUCUGCUGGGCAGUUGCUGACACUGAGGCGCGACAGCGUGGGGAGCAAACAGG